UGAUCAUUCUACGGACAAAAUUCCACAAAGCUCGUUCAGUAGCCUGUCAGAAGAGGUACAAGAGAAGGGUGUGAGCUUUUCACUGAAGGUCGUUUUCACCCAUAUACCCUGGGGUGGAACUUGAACAGAGACAGCUGAAACAGAGUGACAGAAGCAUCCCAGAGAAGAGAUGGACAGAAUCACUUACCUACAGAAUGAAUGUGGAGCUAUCGCUGAGGCCUGAGAAAUUAGGAGCUGAAUCACUCUGGGCAUCCAUGGAUAAGGCAAGGAGGAGAGAAAGUCCUCUCACAGAGGAUAUCCAGUGAAGGGGAGACAGGCUGCUUGAACUGCAGGCAAGAGCAGCGGUUUGUGAAGAGAGCUGUUUUCAAAUGGACCCUACACCCGGAUUCCCAGCCUCACACCUGCUAACCAUGCACUUUACCUCAGGAACAUGCCCGCCCUCAGGGAACUUUCAGCUUGAGAUGGUCUGUUGACAGAAACACAAGGCAAACAAGAAAGAAGAAGAGGACAUUUCAUUUAAAUCACAAGAGGAGGUGGGAGAACAGAGCUAGCUACCACAAAACCUUGCAAAGAAAUUCUUCUUCAGCUGGUUUCCUCUUGGGUCCCAUCUGGCCUCCAGCCUUUGUUCGCCUCCCAGCAUCUCUCUGUGAACUCACUCCUCACUGGUGGCUGCCAGGGUUGCAGUUGGUAUUGAAGGUGGUACCCAGACAUGCUGAGCCCAUUGGAGAAGUUGCACAAGGCUGAGGAGGGAAGGUUCGUUCUAGCCUUCUCUGAAAUGGUGGAAGAGAAAAGAGUCUGAAAUCCCUGUCUUAUUUGUGGCUGAGACAGAAAGAACCACCAUGAAAACAACAGCUCCAAGGCCUGUCUCCUUCUCACCCCACAUACAUACUAAGACAAACGACCACAUGUCUCAGAGCCCUCCAACCUCGAGACCAGUGGGAAAGGGCCUGGAGUGCCAAGUGACCUUGAAAUUCAUGGGUUGGCAAAGGUCUUUCAGCCAUGCCACUGACACAGGCUGUCAGGGCCAGGUUUUCCCUGCUUGCUGUGCUGAAGGAAGAGGGUGGAGGGUGACUGAGAAGAGAGUUUGCUUCUCUGAGAUCAAGGCUGGCUGGCUGUCCUCUCCCCUCACUACCGUCCUCUUGACUUGCUUUGCAGGGAUGCUCGGUCGAUCACAGCCCCUUCUCAUUAAAGUAAAUAGUGCUUUCCUGA
This is a non-coding RNA of Peromyscus maniculatus bairdii (prairie deer mouse), 1209 nucleotides long. The record is from RefSeq and is a predicted model, not a curated record. Lineage: Eukaryota; Metazoa; Chordata; Mammalia; Rodentia; Cricetidae.